Molecule: ribosomal RNA, 312 nt
Filed under: Triticum aestivum (bread wheat)
Lineage: Eukaryota; Viridiplantae; Streptophyta; Magnoliopsida; Poales; Poaceae
Description: partial small subunit ribosomal RNA
Source: RNAcentral
AUGUUUGCCCUCAUAAUAUCCUUACUUGUUGUAUGCAAAUUGCAACAUGAACUAUUGUACUUUCUUGAACUGAAACUUGUGCAAUGUUUGUUGAUUAGCAGUUUUGCUCAAAGGUGUUUAUUUUCUUUCUCCCACUUGAAUCAUAAUGAAGAACAUGCUGGUAGUCAAAUAUUGAAUCUUAGUUUACUCACCCUGGCAUAUUUUCUCAUUGUGAUAGAAUCCUCGCAGGUCCAAAAUUUACAAUUCCUGCCAAGUAUUACAAUCUGGCUUCAUUUAUUUGUUGUUAUGGAUCCUUUUAAUUUAGAAAUUUAA